Molecule: ribosomal RNA, 253 nt
Filed under: uncultured bacterium
Lineage: Bacteria
Description: partial 16S ribosomal RNA
Rfam family: Bacterial small subunit ribosomal RNA
Source: RNAcentral
UACGAACCGUGCGAACGUUGUUCGGAAUCACUGGGCUUAAAGGGCGCGUAGGCGGGCUAUCAAGUCCGGGGUGAAAUCCUCCCGCUCAACGGGAGAACGGCCUCGGAUACUGAUGGUCUCGAGGGGGAUAGGGGCACACGGAACUGUGGGUGGAGCGGUGAAAUGCGUUGAUACCCAUAGGAACUCCGGUGGCGAAGGCGGCAUCCUGGACCGGUAUUGACACUGAGGAGCGAAAGCCAGGGGAGCAAACGGG